GGCUGUCCCAAGUAGUUAAUUAUCUCACUUGAUUGUUGACAGUCUAACAGAUUUAACUCCUGUUCUACUACUUUCCCCCUUUUCACUACUGCACUUGACUAGUCUUAA
This 108-nucleotide Y RNA is filed under the name Microcebus murinus (gray mouse lemur). RNAcentral describes it as "Y RNA (ENSMICG00000036631.2)". It matches the Rfam family "Y RNA". Rfam says of the family: Y RNAs are components of the Ro ribonucleoprotein particle (Ro RNP), in association with Ro60 and La proteins. The Y RNAs and Ro60 and La proteins are well conserved, but the function of the Ro RNP is not known. Lineage: Eukaryota; Metazoa; Chordata; Mammalia; Primates; Cheirogaleidae. The record is from Rfam by way of RNAcentral.